Molecule: small nucleolar RNA, 134 nt
Organism: Otolemur garnettii (small-eared galago)
Lineage: Eukaryota; Metazoa; Chordata; Mammalia; Primates; Galagidae
Source: Ensembl
GUGCACAGUGAAUACCCAAGUGUACUUUAUAGUUCCCUUGGUUUUGACCCUGUGCUAGAGCAAUGCCUGUCUUUUUCCUCUGCAUUGAAAGGUAUAUUUAUCCUUUUAAAUGUAUUCACAAAGCCAGCACAUUA